Molecule: transfer RNA, 72 nt
Filed under: Cavia porcellus (domestic guinea pig)
Lineage: Eukaryota; Metazoa; Chordata; Mammalia; Rodentia; Caviidae
Rfam family: tRNA
About the family: Transfer RNA (tRNA) molecules are approximately 80 nucleotides in length. Their secondary structure includes four short double-helical elements and three loops (D, anti-codon, and T loops).
Source: Rfam by way of RNAcentral
GAGGGUGUAGCUCAGUGUUAGAGCACUUGCCUAUUAUGCACAAGUCUCUGGAUUCAAUUCCUAGCACUCCUG